UGAACUCUGUUCUCUCUGUCCGCUUUUGUUUUUCCUUAUCGCUCGGCUCGCGCUUCGGCCAAUCUCUCUCGCGUGUACACAUGCACUUGGUCGUAUAGAAAAGCACAUGCUCUCGCGGAUCGCGCGGUAGCAGCAGCAGCGGCAGCAUAGGAGUAUAAGAGAGCUUUCGCGCACACACGUGCUCCGAACAAAAGCUUGCAAGUAAAAUAAAGUGAUACCGUUACUGUGCAUGGAUUGAUUUUACGUCGAAGAAAAAAAUUGAAUUAUAAUAAAGUACGAAUUGCGAAACACGAGCACGAGAUGAGGCUUUGAAUUUUGGCGCGAGACCGUCGCGCGCGCAGAUUCGAAAAUUUUUCGGUGCGGGCGGACGCGCGGAACUUGGCACACGCACACGAGGUGCUUUGCAAUUUUUUUUUUUUCAUUUUCGAAUGACUUGCGCGCAUCGACGAUGACACUCAAAAAUCACGAAGAUCUCGCGGUCAACGAUCGUCCACCAUGCACCCACAACGACGAGCUUAAUUCGUUGGGCUGACCAGUAAUUAUAUAAACAUAGAUACAUACGAGCAGUGAAAAAUCGAAUCGUUCUUGGUGUAUACAAAAGUGAAAGAAAUAACAGCAGCAGCAGCAAAGAGUUUGACUCGAGUUGAAAGAAAAGAAGAAAAAGAAGAAAAAAGUUUUUUUUGUGUGCUCUUGGUCGCACGGGCCGAGAGAGGAGAAGAAGAAGAUACACACAGCAAGUGAGGGAGAGAGUUAUACCUGCCAGAGGCCUAGACUGCACGCACAGGUAUAACACCAGAAAGUGGAAAGAAGACGACCGGAAACUGCUGAACAGGACAGGUCCUUCCUCUGGAGGCACUCAGAAGGCACUCAAGAUCCAUUGCUGCGAGAAGAUGCCGGCAAAACAAGUUACGAGGUCAACAAGAUCAUGACACCGACAUACCGGAGAUCGGUGAGUACAGAGAGCGCGGGCGAAGAUGAGGAUCAGUUUGCCAGGGGUACAAACUCCCCUGGUGGCGGUGGAAGCGGCGACGAGAGCAACCCCGAUGGUACGGCGUCGCAAGGCCAGCAGCAAUUGCAGUCCAUUGUUGCUCCACAAACCCAGCAACAACAACAACAACAACAACAGCAACAGCAGCAACCACAACAGCAGCAGCAACAGCUGCAGUUGUCACAACAGGCGCCCACGCAGCAGCAAACUGCACUUCUGAGAAUGGCAGGCGCGAAGAGGGCGCGGGGCUUUCUGUCCGGCACGGGCCGGCCGCCCUUGCCCCACGUUAAUUUUGACCCGGAAGCGCCACCCCCGCCGACCCAAAUGGGAUUGCCGACGCCGCAGAUGACUCUGCUCGAGAAGCCGGAGAUCGACAAAAAAGUCAAGAGACACAGUAUCCACGGCAUGAUGGAGGACGAGAACGUAAUAAGGCCGCACCAGGAGAUGGCCAGCCUCUCGCUGGACGACAAAAAGUUCCUGCUGGCCGUGGAGCGCGGUGACGUUGCCGGCGUCAGAAAAAUGUUGGAGCUGGAGAACCACAAGAAGAUAAACAUAAAUUGCGUCGACCCGCUGGGCAGGUCGGCCCUCCUCAUGGCGAUCGACAACGAAAAUCUCGAAAUGGUCGGACUGCUGAUAGACUUUAAAGUCGACACGAAGGACGCUCUAUUGCACGCCAUAUCCGAGGAAUUCGUCGAGGCCGUGGAGCUUUUGCUCGAUCACGAGGAAAGUAUGCAUCGAGCCGGCGAGCCACACAGUUGGGAGGCUCUACCACCUGAUACAGCAACAUUCACGCCUGACAUCACACCGCUCAUACUCGCGGCGCAUCGGGACAACUACGAAAUCAUCAAAAUCUUGCUGGAUCGAGGUUCCACGCUGCCGAUGCCUCACGACGUCCGUUGCGGGUGCGACGAGUGCGUGACGUCGCGCCAAGAGGAUUCGCUGCGACACUCGAGAAGCCGCAUCAACGCUUACCGUGCCCUGGCGUCGCCCUCCCUCAUAGCUCUCUCUUCCAAGGAUCCUAUUCUUACGGCUUUCGAGCUGUCUUGGGAGCUGCGAAGGCUCUCCUUUCUCGAGCACGAGUUCAAGUGCGAGUAUCAAGAACUCAGGCGUCAGUGUCAAGACUUCGCCACGGCGUUACUUGAUCACACGAGAAGUUCGUACGAACUCGAGGUGCUUCUAAAUCACGAUCCAACGGGACCAGCGUUCGAGCACGGCGAGCGCAUGCAUCUCAAUCGCCUCAAGCUCGCAGUGAAAUUGCGCCAGAAAAAGUUCGUAGCGCAUCCUAACGUGCAGCAACUGCUCGCGUCCAUCUGGUACGAGGGCUUGCCUGGCUUCAGGCGCAAAAACAUGGUGCUGCAGGCAUUGGAAAUCGUGCGUAUCGGCAUACUCUUUCCAUUCUUCAGCAUCGGUUACAUCAUCGCGCCUCACACGGUCGUCGGUCAGACCAUGAGGAAGCCCUUCAUCAAAUUCAUAUGCCAUUCCGCGUCGUAUUUUACGUUCCUUUUUAUGUUGAUAUUAGCGAGUCAAAGGAUAGAGAGUGUCAUAGGCGUUUGGACGGGGCACGAUGUGGAACACGACCCCCAUAACGAGCCAACGAAACGCGGCGCUGCACCCACCAUCGUCGAGUGGGUAAUCUUGUCUUGGGUCUCGGGCUUGAUAUGGUCGGAAGUGAAGCAAUUAUGGGACGUCGGUCUCGAGGAGUACGUCAACGACAUGUGGAACGUAAUUGAUUUCGUCACGAAUUCGCUGUACGUGGCGACUGUGGCAUUACGUAUCGUGGCCUACUACAGAGUGCAGAGGGAGAACGAGGGAAUAGAGCCGCACAUGAUCGUCGAGCUGCAACGCGAGCAGUGGGACACUUGGGAUCCGAUGCUCAUUUCCGAGGGCUUAUUUUCAGCCGCAAAUAUUUUCAGUUCCUUAAAAUUAGUCUACAUAUUCUCGGUGAAUCCACAUCUUGGACCUCUGCAAGUCUCGCUCUCUCGAAUGGUUAUGGACAUCAUGAAGUUUUUCUUCUUAUUCGUCCUCGUGCUCUUCGCUUUUUCAUGCGGUUUGAAUCAACUUCUGUGGUACUACGCCGACAUGGAAAAGAAAAGGUGCCCGACAGCCAUGCCUCAUUUGCCUCAAAAUAAUACGAACCUCGAUCCAAACGCCUGCAUUGUUUGGAGAAGAUUCGCAAAUCUUUUCGAAACGACUCAAACGUUAUUCUGGGCCGUCUUUGGUCUGGUAGAUCUUGAAAGUUUCGAGCUCGAUGGAAUAAAAAUAUUCACAAGAUUUUGGGGUAUGCUGAUGUUCGGCACGUAUUCCGUUAUUAACAUCGUUGUGCUACUGAAUCUACUGAUCGCCAUGAUGAAUCAUUCCUAUCAAUUAAUAUCGGAACGCGCCGACGUAGAGUGGAAAUUCGCUCGGAGCAAGCUGUGGAUAAGCUACUUCGAGGAAGGUGGCACGGUGCCGCCGCCCUUCAACAUUAUACCCACGCCCAAAAGCUUCUGGUACAUUGUAAAGUGGAUUUACAGAAAGCUCUGCGGUCACAGUCGCGCCGCCAAGAAAGAGCACAUGAGGACCAUACGGCGCAAGGUGAAACAGGCCUCGGAGCGCGAUUUUCGUUAUCAGGGCAUAAUGCGUAAUCUCGUGCGCCGCUACGUGACCGUGGAGCAGCGCAAGACGGAGAACGAGGGUGUGACGGAGGACGACGUGAACGAGAUCAAGCAGGACAUAAGCGCUUUCCGCUGCGAGCUCAUUAAUAUACUGCAAAAGUCGGGGAUGGCGACGGAGCACACAUCUGGCCAGGGUACCGACGGUAGCGUGAAAGAGUUAUCCGUACUAGGUGUCGGUGGCAAGAAGAAUCGGCAGAAGGAGCGCCGCCUCAUGAAGGGCUUCAACAUAGCACCGCCGCCGGGCAGCAGCGGGACCCUGGCGCCGGUGGCUGAGUCCGGCCACGACGGACUUCCGAGCCUCGACGAUUCGCAUCAUCAUCAUCCGGCUGCGGGUACCGGAGGACACCAUCACGAGAUCUUCGGCAGUACGCUAAGCGGCUUAUUCGGGCCUGGCACGACGCCCAAAAAGAAUCCGCACCACAUGAGCACGAACAGCGUGCCGGGACUGGGCUCCUCGCAGCGACAGUCGAGGGACACGCGAGGCGGCAGUUCGCGCAAGAGAAAAUGGGGCACCCUCAUCGAAGCUGCCAAAGUUGGCCGAGUUUCCAAGCUUAUAGCAGGUCGCUCACGUUCCGAAGAUUCGGUCUACUCGCAAGCCUCCGACGACGCUGCUUCCCACUCGGACUGCUCUACAGAUUCGAAAACUUCCGGGGACGUCCCGUCUCAGGAUCCACAAGGUCAUCACCAUUCUUCCCAUCAUCAUCACGGUGGUCAUUCCUCGCAUCACCAUCAUCAUCACCAUCACCACCAUCACCACUCGCAAAGUCAGCAGCAACAGCAGCAGCAACAAAUACCACCGAUUCCACCGACUCCACCCGCGAAUCACGAGAGCCAGGCCCAUUCCAGCCCGUUCGCGUUAGGGCUAGCGGCGCUGCGCCGCAAGCGCAAAAGGUACCAGACCCGAGGCUCGACGCCGGCCAUGACCACGAGCACCACCGGCACCGGCAGCGGCGCCUCGGCUUCAGCUUCCUCGCCCAUGGAUAGCGCGCUAAAUCCCAUCGCCUCGGCGCUGCAGCGCGUGACCAAGAAGCAGCUGCAGCGGGCGAGCAGCGUGCCGACGCGCGGCCCCGAUUUGGCUCUGCACCAGCCGGUGCAGCCGAGGCGACACGAGACGACGCAGAGCCAGCAGCCGAGUCUCGAAGAGGGGUCUAGCAACGGUGGUUCCAAAGACCAAGGUUAGAGAUUCAUCGUCAUUUUGGUCUUUAUCUCGGCUAUAUAAUAUACAUAUAGUAUUUCUGUAAUAAGAUUUUUGAUCGUCGUUUGAUUUUCCAAGCUGAAUAUAGUGAUAUUAUGCGCCACGAAAAGUAUAUUAUGAUAUAUAAGUCUUGUAAAAAUUGUGUAUAAAGAAGACACUCACAAAAAGAAAAAAAGUAUUUUAAUAUAUCGACUCGAGUGUCGUUCGAAUGAUCCAAGGUGCAUCUACUUCCGAUAAGCGCGCUGUAUAACUAGCCAGAGGCUUAAAUAGUUGCUUUGCUGGCUAUACUAUGUUAUGGUAAUAUUUCAUACAUAUGCUGUGUACCUACAAAAUGGAUUUAGUCACUUAAGCUCAUCGGAAUUGAGAGAUCUCAUCGCGUCAAAUCUUGCUUUAUAAUCUCUGCGGCUUUUGCGCACAUCUCUCUGUCUUCUGCGCGUGUAUGUAAUUACACAUCAUUUAUUUUAUCUGAAGAAUUCCGAUGAAAAAAACUUUCCCAAUUCAAAAGACGACGAAUGUUGCAUUGUAUGAUGGUGUAACAUAGAUGCAUUUCCAAUUAUCUUUUUAUUUUAAUUUUUCGAGAGAAAAAAAAUUCAAGUUCGACUACCAUCGAAGGCAGUAAAAAAAGUAUAUGUAACAUCGAGGUUUAUGGAGAUUAUAAGAGACUAUUGAGACAUUUUCCGGCCAGAAUUUUUAACUUUUCUGCAUGAAGAGGAGUUUGGAAAGACAGGACUGCUUCUGCAAUAGUGGCGUGUCCUCGUCGUCGACGGCUGCAGCUAUGACCAAUUCGACGGUUGAUUUAACACCGUCGACCACCGAGGAGAG
This 5659-nucleotide unclassified non-coding RNA is filed under the name Trichogramma pretiosum. RNAcentral's name for it is "transient receptor potential-gamma protein, transcript variant X10". The record is from RNAcentral. Lineage: Eukaryota; Metazoa; Arthropoda; Insecta; Hymenoptera; Trichogrammatidae.